Molecule: long non-coding RNA, 1416 nt
Filed under: Vulpes vulpes (red fox)
Lineage: Eukaryota; Metazoa; Chordata; Mammalia; Carnivora; Canidae
Description: lncRNA (ENSVVUG00000002564.1)
Source: RNAcentral
AUGGGCCAGACUGUGCCCCCAGCAGGCCGGGCGCCCUCCAGCGGCCUGCACCUCCAGGAGGCCCCGGCUUUCCCUCAGGCCCCGUGUGGGGAGCUCCUUCUAGCUGCACCAACAAACACAGACCCACCCCCAAGCCUGGCCGGUCCUCAGGGGGACUCCACAGCAUCUGCCCGGAGCCCGCCGAGCCCAUGCGGGCGUCCUGCCCAAGAACCCGGGUUCCGAUCCCAGAGCUCCUCUAGCUGCGCCCCUACCUGUUUGGGCCUCAGUUUCCCAGCUGUAAGACGGAGAUCUGGACGCCUCCUUCGGGGCUCAGCACCCGGGCUGGUACACAGCAGGCGCUUAAUCACUGUCCCCUGCUACGGGUCCAGCUCCAGGGCUUCCCUGGGGCGGGGACAGGCGUCUCCAGACGCGUCGACCCCCGCCCCGUGCAGGGUCCACGCAAACCGAAAUGCAAACGCAGCAAGCGCGGGCUCGGCGCCGUGGCCCGGGGAGCGCGUGGGGGCGCCCGGCCCCCCACAGCCCCGCGCGGGCGCUGAGCGGCGUCCAGCCCGGCUCUCAGCGAUCCGUGUAAAUGUUUACACCGGGAGGGCGGCCAGGCCCCGCGCGGCCCGACACCAGGCGGCCGCCCGGGAAUGUAAACGCGGGCUGGGGCCGCGGCGGCGGCGGCGGCGGCGGGGAGCGGCUCCGCGGGGUGGCGCCGGUGCGCAGGCGUCAGGGCACCUACUGUGUGCAGCGAGCGCGCCGCGACCUGCGGGCCGGCACCCUGCGUCGGUGCCCGAAUGGGGCACGCUCAGGCCACCCCGGGGGCCCGGGGCUGGGGGCGAGGCCUCGGGGGAGACGCCCGCCCCGUCCAAGGCGAGACGGAGCGGGGAGCGGAGAGGGGACGAGGCGGUGCAGGGGCGAUGUGCCGGGUGGGAGGACCGCACUGUGCACAGGCCGGGGUGCCGGGGCCGCUUGCGGGCGUCACUUUACCUGCUCAGAGAGGGGCGGGGCUGCACACCCGAGGCCCCCAACGUGGAAGGGGCACCCUCGACCCCAGGGCUCCUGCCUCUCAAGCUGUGCUCUAAGCACCAUCUCAGCUCCACCCCCUGGUCCCACAGUGCCCCCUGCUGGGGCGCCCACACCUCCCUCCACGCUGCCCCCAAGCCUACUGGGCUCCACCACCGCGGCCUCAGGGUGCAUGGGCCCCCGUUGGUCCAGGCUGGGGCCCUUGCACCGGCUGCUCCCCGCUGCAGCGAUGCCAGUGCCCUGUGCCUGGCUGAGAUGCCCUCCUCCUUGCUCGGGUCUCAACUUCCAUGGCUAUUCAGGGAAGCGCUGUGGGACCCCGCAUGGGGGUGCUCCCCCUGCCACCGCCCGCACCGCACCCGCCCUCUUCGUGGGCAGCAUUUUUCACAACCUUGUGCAGCGGGUUCUUGA